This 66-nucleotide transfer RNA is filed under the name Rhynchium quinquecinctum. RNAcentral's name for it is "tRNA-Asn". The record is from RNAcentral. Lineage: Eukaryota; Metazoa; Arthropoda; Insecta; Hymenoptera; Vespidae.
UUAAUUGAAGCCAAAAUAGAGGCAGUUUAUUGUUAAUAUUCUUAAUGAAUUCAAAUUCCAAUUGAA